Molecule: transfer RNA, 104 nt
Filed under: Gammaproteobacteria bacterium
Lineage: Bacteria; Pseudomonadati; Pseudomonadota; Gammaproteobacteria
Description: tRNA-Tyr
Rfam family: tRNA
About the family: Transfer RNA (tRNA) molecules are approximately 80 nucleotides in length. Their secondary structure includes four short double-helical elements and three loops (D, anti-codon, and T loops).
Source: RNAcentral
CCGCGCUUAGCUCAGUUGGCUAGAGCACCUGACUGUAGACUGNAAACACNNGGUUGUAGGCAGCCAUCAGGGGGUCCCCGGUUCAAGUCCGGGAGCGCGGACCA